GUAGAAAAUGAGUUACAGAUGUACAAAGACAUUAGAAGGCUGCCUGCAACAUAGAAGCAAAAUGCUCCAGGAGGCUGACCUGAAUGACAUACAUCAGUGAACUCCUUUGGCCUCUGUCAGACCCACCAAAUCAGAAAAUCUUACACUCCUACAAGAAAUUCAUGCCUUGCAGGAACAUAGACCAAUACUGAGCCACUGAUUCAGCACAUCCUCUGUGGAGACCAACCAGCCACUUGGUGGCAAGAGAUUACAUUGGAACCCUCUCAUCUCAGAAGGAGCAGUGUUUCGUGUUGACUGAAUCAACAUGUGCACCAGAUACAAGACUCCCUUUUCUGCCUGGAAUAAUCUGCCAGUAUGACUCUCAAAAGGCUUAACUCACGGACAUAGGAUCCCUUGUAGCACUGCAUUGGAUUGAGAGAUAGAGAACUCAGUUAAAAACAAGGAGGUGUGGCAGUGGGCCCUUGACUAUGGUAUCCCCUGGCCUUAUCACAUCCUAUGUCACUCAGAAGUUGAGAUCUGAAAGAGUGAAAAAAAAGCUGCUUACUAGACACUGAGGACCCAGCUUGGAGAUGAUAAGCUGUGAAGAUGGGCGCUGUUCUCCAGACAUAAUAUAUAUGUCCUAAAUCAACAACCAUUCCCUAGGGCUGUGUCCCCAGUAGAUAGCAAGUGCGAGUCUGGAAAUCAAAGAGUAGAAAUAGGCACAGCCCGGCUUAUAUCACUUCAAGUGACCAAUGUAGGGAAUUUAUGCUUCUUACUACACUCCCAGGCUUUUGUGGUUUAGAAGUCCUAGUUUCUAAAGGGAGAACAUUUCCACCAGGAAACUCAGCAGGAGACCCAUUAAGCUUUAAGCUAUGCUUACUGAAUGUCGCUCAUGCCAAAGCCUAUCAGAAAAGGGAAAUAGCCUUCAUCCCAGCAGGAGUAAUGGGCCCUGAUGAUCAGGAGGAGGUGGGGCUGCUGUUACUCCCUGGGGUUCUCUUGGAACCCUCUUGCCUAAUUUCAACAAAAAAUGGACAAAUGCAGUGGUCAUGGCCUGAGAAAGGCUCAGAUCUUACUGUUGAAGGUGGAGGUGUCCCCAACAGGUAAGCCUCUUAGACCAUCAGAGGUGUUAGCCAAGGGUGAGGAGAAUCUAGAAUGAGUAGGGGAGGAGAGAAAUGAUGUGUGUAGUUACCUUGAAACUGCAGCAUGGAAGUUGGGGGGGUUCUGGGGCUAUAAUUCCUGUCACUGGCCUUCCUCUUGUUAAGUUUACCUAGGAAAACAGGCCAGCGAGAAUCUUGGAGGGGCUGUUCCCAAGUUUUACUAUAAAAUGAAAGUGAAUCCAAGUGGCCUGGGGCUGAAUCUGAGUUCAUGCUGUAGGCACUGCCCAGAUGCCUUGUCAGAGCUAAGAUCAUUCUCCCAGCUACUGAGGGUGUGGGUAACCUGUGAUGCUUAACUGAGUCCCUCUCCAGGAAUUGCCUUUAGCAAAAGAUGAGCCACCUCUCUUCACCCAGACCACACUCCCCUCCCCAGGGAAUGUACAGCCCAAUUCAGUGUGUGGUCAGUGCAGAAGCAGAAAGGCUCAAUUUGCCUGCAUCUAGUGAGACAUCUAGGAGGGUUCAUCCUACUCCCUGAACUCCCCAUGGGGUUGACUGAGGCCUUCGUCACAACUUCAUUGCAGUUCAUACCUCCCUUUGCCCCAUCCCACUUCUUUCAUUCUGCAUGGGCAUCGAUCUUGAUCGAGGCCACUCCCCAGAACACUCCCUGCCUGCAUGUCUCUCUCAAGAGUCUGCUGCCUGGGGAUUGGAUUUAAGACACAUGCUGGUCUUCACCUAGGAGUAAUUUCCCUGUCCAUACUUUUGAUCAAAUUUCCUUGAAUUAUCUUAAUUUGAGUGUGCCCUCUGAAUUUUGAUGGGAUCUGGACUGACGGGGCAGGGUAUUGGGCUAGGGACAUGACUGGCAGGUAAGUCUGCCUAAUUCUGAGGCUCAGUAUUAGUAGGACUCUUUACUGACACAUGGAAUUUGUAUUCUCAAACGUACCAAAAUCAGCUUACUAAAGAUAUUUUGGUGUCCACCUUAUUUCUUUGUUUGUUAAAAGUAAUGGCGAAAACCACAAUUCCUUUUGCACCAACCUAAUAAACUAUUCAGAACCUGAAUGGAAGCCACUCCUUGGUGGUUCCCUUAGAAACCCCAGCCCCAUCCAGAGCCCUUGUAUCAGAUUUGGAUGGAAAGGGCAUGUGUUUAGCCUGUUCAAGGGUGACUUUUAGACAGUCCUCUCUCUCUCUGUCUCUGUGUGUGUGUGUGUGUGUGUGUGUUGUGUGUGUGUGUGUAGGUUCAGCCUUUUCUCACUAAGACAGUUAUUUUCACCCAUAGGCAGGCACCCUGAUGGGAGAGGCAGGAUGAAUGGAUCUCUUUGAUACUCAAAGUUUUUUAAGCCAUUGAUGUGUUACGUGUCUAAAAUAAUAUUCUUUUUUAAAAAAUUAUUGUUUCAUGAUAUGAUUAAUAAAUUAUUUUCUUUGUUAAAUAUCGAUUAAAAAUUAUAUUAAUAAUUAUGUUAAUAAUUAAGAAUUAUAGAUGAGGAUAAAAUUCCUUUUGACUGUUACAGCAGUCCACUCCCAAGAGAAUAAACUAUUACCUUCCAGACCUUUUCAAAAUUGACAGGAUCUAUUUAAAGUCCUGUAUUUUAUUUGACCAGAAAAUUCUAUUUUUCAGAAGUUACAUUUAAGAAAACUUCUUGAAUGUACAUGACAAAGAAUGAACGAGCAUAUUUAUUGCAACAUUGUUUGUAAUAGCAAUAAAGGUAAAUAACUUAAUAGGGGACUAAAUAAAUUGUGGUAUAUUUUUACAAUGACAGAGUAUACAGUAGUAAAAACAGUGAGGUGGAGCCCUAAGUGCUAACUUGGAAAAAGCUUCAGGAAAUAUCACUGAGUGAAAAAGCAGAUUGCAGAAUGAUAAAUGUAAUAUGAUGCAUUUUAUCAGGGCUAUUUAGGAAAAUUAUGGCCUAAUAGAAAUGACCUGGGCUGAGUGAGAGGAGCAGAAAUGGGGAGAGUGAUUAUUGCCCCUUGCUUGCUUUGCCUCCUUUAGCCAUUUCUUCCUGUUCUCUCAAUCAUUCUUUCCCCUCUUUCACUCCACAUUCUUUCCUUUCUUCAUCACUUCUUUUCGUGGUUAAAAUUGAAGCCAAGUCUACCCUCUAGGAAUUGUAUGUGUUUAUGCUCGUUAACAACCCGUUGAACUCUGUUGAUUAGCAAUAUGGCCAAUCCAAACUGGUUGUUAAAGUGUCAAAAUAAAUGGAUCCAAUACCUGCACCCAGGCUCACAUGAUCUCGUUGAUGAAUAAUUAAUAUAGCCUCAAUAUGAUGCAUUAUAUGGAAACCUGCCUGCUUUGGCUACUGUGAAAGCUUAAAAAUAAA
Gorilla gorilla gorilla (western lowland gorilla) is the source of this 3382-nucleotide long non-coding RNA. RefSeq lists it as uncharacterized. The record is from RefSeq and is a predicted model, not a curated record. The transcript is spliced from 3 exons. NCBI's taxonomy places the organism in Eukaryota, Metazoa, Chordata, Mammalia, Primates, Hominidae.